UAAACUAGGAUUAGAUACCCUAUUAUUUUGAACGUUAAAAUUUACUAGGGUAGUAUUAGUUAUUUUCUUUAAACCCAAAGAAUUUGGCGGUGUUAUUAAUCUGUUUAGAGGAACCUGUUCCUUAAUCGAUAAUCCUCGUUUUAUCUUUCUUUGAUUAUUAGUAUGUAUACCUCCGUUAAAAGUUUAUGUUAUUAGGUUGUUAAUUUACUUUUUAUUUUAUUUGAUUUUAUUUCAGGUCAAGGUGCAGCUUAUAUUAAAGUGGUUAAUGGGUUACAAUAUUAUUUGAAUAUUUUGGAUUUAAAUCUGAAUUUGAUUUAAUGAAAUUGGAUUUAAUGGUAAUUUAGUUUAUAGAGAUUAUUUGAAUUAUUGCUCUGGGAUAAGUACACAUCG
Molecule: ribosomal RNA, 390 nt
Filed under: Haplopus sp. WS111
Lineage: Eukaryota; Metazoa; Arthropoda; Insecta; Phasmatodea; Phasmatidae
Description: partial 12S ribosomal RNA
Source: RNAcentral